This 968-nucleotide long non-coding RNA is filed under the name Bos taurus (domestic cattle). RNAcentral describes it as "long non-coding RNA NONBTAT017950". Lineage: Eukaryota; Metazoa; Chordata; Mammalia; Artiodactyla; Bovidae. The record is from RNAcentral.
AGAGGCUGCUUGUUGACUGGUAUAGCUCCGUGACCCUUUGCUCAAUCGCUGAGGUUUGAUUUCUUACCCUCUCUUAUCCCCAUUUUCAUACCCUUCCCAGGGAUUAGUGACGGGGGUGAGGCUCCUCUAAUCAUGGUGAAGUAUUAGCCUUCCACCUCCUCCCUUCUCCUCCCUCUCCCCCAUCCUGUCUUCCUCAUUUCUCUCCUUUUUCAUCACUGAUUGCCUUGUGUCCCUCCAAGUCUGUUGUUGCUGUCCAUCCCCAGGCCUUGGGCCCCAUAGACACUAAACCUCAUGCCCUAAAGAUAGGAAGAAAGACCCUCUGUACAGAGUUAUCCUUCACCCCUGGAGCACUGAAGCUCAGGGUGAUACUAGAGUGAGGAUCCCACCAGUUUUGCCUGGCUUCCUCCAUCACCAGAGGCUUAAAAAGUAGUAGUUUAUGGACAGUGGCUUACUCUCUCUAAGCCUGAUACAGGUGAAUGAGCGGUAAGGCUUUGGUAAAACUGAGGGACAGAGGUCCUUAUUUGUCUUUUUUUUUUUUCUUUUUCUUUUUGUCAUUUGACCACAGCAUCUGGACUUCUUUCAUCCCUGGAAUAAGUAUUUUUCCACAUUUUUUGGAUGUAUGUAUGGUAGACAAUUUUUUUUUAAGACACAGAGAUAAAUGUUUUCCUGCUUUGGUUACCUUUCCUUUCCCCUUUAAAAGGAAUUAGCUAUAGAACUGCUUUGUAAAGAUGCUUCUUGAUAUUUUACUUUUGUUCCUUUUCCCUAACCUCUCCCUUUUCUCCCCACUUCUCCAGAAGGCAUAACCUUCUCUCCACACCCCCUACCCCCACCCCAGUCCUAGGCUCCUUUCCCCUCCAACAAGACCUUCAUUAGCUUAUGAUAUUUGCUGCCGAGAUGUUAUAACAAGGACUCAUUCGUGUAUAUAAGCUAUUUCUUGAUCCAUUUAAAAGGAAUUGUACAUUGUGUAG